UCCCCGUUGCCGGGGCAGUCUAGCUAGAAAAAUCCAACUAACUAUAAGGGUUGCGCUCGUUAAAGGACUUAACCUAACAUCUCACGACACGAGCUGACGACGGCCAUGCAGCACCUGUCUCUACGGUCCGAAGACACUCCCUCCUUUCGGAGGGAUUAGUAGGAUGUCAAGCCCUGGUAAGGUUCUUCGCUUAUCAUCGAAUUAAACAACACGCUCCACCGCUUGUGCGGGUCCCCGUCAAUUCCUUUAUGUUUUAGCCUUGCGGCCGUACUCCACAGGCGGGAUGCUUAACGCGUUAGCUUCGCAACUAUGAGGGUCGAUACUCAUAACUGCUAGCAUCCAUCGUUUACGGCGUGGACUA
Molecule: unclassified non-coding RNA, 361 nt
Filed under: uncultured bacterium
Lineage: Bacteria
Description: contains 16S-23S intergenic spacer region
Source: RNAcentral